RNAcentral lists this ribosomal RNA (440 nucleotides) under uncultured bacterium. Its description in RNAcentral is "bacterial SSU rRNA". It matches the Rfam family "Bacterial small subunit ribosomal RNA", at positions 958 to 1397 of the family's 1533-position model. The record is from RNAcentral.
AACGCGAAGAACCUUACCUGGGUUUGACAUCCCCUGACAACCGUAGAGAUACGGCUUCUGUAGUAAUACAGCAGGGAGACAGGUGCUGCAUGGCUGUCGUCAGCUCGUGUGGUGACAUGUUGGGUUAAGUCCCGCAACGAGCGCAACCCUUGUUCUUAGUUGCCAGCAUUCAGUUGGGCACUCUAAGGAGACUGCCGUGGUUAACACGGAGGAAGGUGGGGAUGACGUCAAGUCCUCAUGGCCUUUAUAUCCAGGGCGACACACGUGAUACAAUGGACGGUACAGAGGGAUGCCAAGUGGUAACACGGAGCUAAUCUCAAAAAGCCGUUCUCAGUUCGGAUUGGAGUCUGCAACUCGACUCCAUGAAGUUGGAAUCGCUAGUAAUCGCGGAUCAGCACGCCGCGGUGAAUACGUUCCCGGGCCUUGUACACACCGCGAGC